Molecule: small RNA, 550 nt
Filed under: Pongo abelii (Sumatran orangutan)
Lineage: Eukaryota; Metazoa; Chordata; Mammalia; Primates; Hominidae
Description: retained intron
Source: RNAcentral
UUACAGGAUUGGUGGGUAUACCUGGACCUCCAGGUAUUCCUGGGUUUGACGGUGCCCCUGGCCAGAAAGGAGAGAUGGGACCUGCUGGGCCUACUGGUCCAAGAGGAUUUCCAGGUCCACCAGGCCCCGAUGGGUUGCCAGGAUCCAUGGGGCCCCCAGGCACCCCAUCUGUUGAUCACGGCUUCCUUGUGACCAGGCACAGUCAAACAAUAGAUGACCCACAGUGUCCUUCUGGGACCAAAAUUCUUUACCAUGGGUACUCUUUGCUCUACGUGCAAGGCAAUGAACGGGCCCAUGGCCAGGACCUGGGUAAGAAGCCUGCAGAUCCGUGCAUUCAUUCAGUGUAGGUGUGUUGAGUGCCUUCGGUGCGCAGUGCUGGACUCGCCUCUGCUGCUGCAGUGAGGGCAGUAGCCAGUGAAAAAGCGGCCCGGCCUCAUUUCCCUCCAUUGAUUACAAACAAUCGGUUCAACAGCUGCAGUAUUACUAAUGGCAAGCCAAGAAAUGUGGAGACUGAAUCUUCGAAAAUCUUUAAAUUAAUAAAACUUUAGAU